RNAcentral lists this transfer RNA (71 nucleotides) under Bowenia serrulata. Its description in RNAcentral is "tRNA-Pro". It matches the Rfam family "tRNA". From Rfam's summary of the family: Transfer RNA (tRNA) molecules are approximately 80 nucleotides in length. Their secondary structure includes four short double-helical elements and three loops (D, anti-codon, and T loops). Lineage: Eukaryota; Viridiplantae; Streptophyta; Cycadopsida; Cycadales; Cycadaceae. The record is from RNAcentral.
CGGGGCAUGGCGCAGCUUGGUGUGCCAUCUUGGGGUGGUGGAGGUCGUGGGUUCAAAUCCCGCUGCUCCGA